AUUGAACGCUGGCGGCAGGCCUAACACAUGCAAGUCGAACGAGUGGCGGACGGGUGAGUAAUGUCUGGGAAACUGCCCGAUGGAGGGGGAUAACUACUGGAAACGGUAGCUAAUACCGCAUACCAUCAGAUGUGCCCAGAUGGGAUUAGCUAGUUGGUGGGGUAACGGCUCACCAAGGCGACGAUCCCUAGCUGGUCUGAGAGGAUGACCAGGCACCCUGGAACUGAGACACGGACCAGACUCCGACGGGAGGCAGCAGUGGGGAAUAUUUCGCAAUGGGCGCGAACCUGAUGCAGCCAUGCCGCGUGUAUGAAGAAGGCCUUCGGGUUGUAGAGUACUUUCAGCGGGGAGGCGUUACCCGCAGAAGAAGCACCGGCUAACUCCGUGCCAGCAGCCGCGGUAAUAC
RNAcentral lists this ribosomal RNA (406 nucleotides) under uncultured bacterium. RNAcentral describes it as "partial 16S ribosomal RNA". It matches the Rfam family "Bacterial small subunit ribosomal RNA", at positions 30 to 526 of the family's 1533-position model. The record is from RNAcentral.